GACGAACGCUGGCGGCGUGCUUAACACAUGCAAGUCGAACGAUGACGACCGAGCUUGCUCGGUCUGAUUAGUGGCGAACGGGUGAGUAACACGUGAGCAACCUGCCCUUCACUCUGGGAUAACCUCGGGAAAUCGGGGCUAAUACCGGAUAUGAGCUCCUGUCGCAUGGCGGGGGUUGGAAAGUUUUUCGGUGAAGGAUGGGCUCGCGGCCUAUCAGUUUGUUGGUGAGGUAGUGGCUCACCAAGGCGAUGACGGGUAGCCGGCCUGAGAGGGCGACCGGCCACACUGGGACUGAGACACGGCCCAGACUCCUACGGGAGGCAGCAGUGGGGAAUAUUGCACAAUGGGCGAAAGCCUGAUGCAGCGACGCCGCGUGAGGGAUGACGGCCUUCGGGUUGUAAACCUCUUUCAGCAGGGAAGAAGCGAAAGUGACGGUACCUGCAAAAGAAGCGCCGGCUAACUACGUG
This 467-nucleotide ribosomal RNA is filed under the name uncultured bacterium. Its description in RNAcentral is "partial 16S ribosomal RNA". It matches the Rfam family "Bacterial small subunit ribosomal RNA", at positions 28 to 507 of the family's 1533-position model. The record is from RNAcentral.